UACGUAGGGUGCGAGCGUUAAUCGGAAUUACUGGGCGUAAAGCGUGCGCAGGCGGUCUGUUAAGACCGAUGUGAAAUCCCCGGGCUUAACCUGGGAACUGCAUUGGUGACUGGCAGGCUUUGAGUGUGGCAGAGGGAGGUAGAAUUCCACGUGUAGCAGUGAAAUGCGUAGAGAUGUGGAGGAAUACCGAUGGCGAAGGCGAGUCCCUGGACAACUUCUGACGCUGAGGCACGAAAGCUAGGGGAGCAAACAGG
Molecule: ribosomal RNA, 254 nt
Filed under: uncultured bacterium
Lineage: Bacteria
Description: partial 16S ribosomal RNA
Rfam family: Bacterial small subunit ribosomal RNA
Source: RNAcentral